GGAUGAGAGGCUGGAGAGCAGCCCUGUGGGAAGUGAUCUGGGGGUUCUGGCUGACAACAAGCUGCACAGGAGCAAGC
Oxyura jamaicensis (ruddy duck) is the source of this 77-nucleotide long non-coding RNA. RefSeq lists it as uncharacterized. The transcript has 3 exons. Lineage: Eukaryota; Metazoa; Chordata; Aves; Anseriformes; Anatidae. The record is from RefSeq and is a predicted model, not a curated record.